RNAcentral lists this transfer RNA (72 nucleotides) under Ailuropoda melanoleuca (giant panda). It matches the Rfam family "tRNA". From Rfam's summary of the family: Transfer RNA (tRNA) molecules are approximately 80 nucleotides in length. Their secondary structure includes four short double-helical elements and three loops (D, anti-codon, and T loops). The record is from Rfam by way of RNAcentral. Lineage: Eukaryota; Metazoa; Chordata; Mammalia; Carnivora; Ursidae.
GUCUGGCUGGCUCAGUUGGAAGAGCAUGUGACUCUUGAUCUUAGGGUCAUGAGUUUGACCCCAUGUUAGGUA